GCCGGGCAUAGUGGUGUGGCCUGUAGUCCCAGCUACUUGGAAGGCUGAGGCUGGAGGAUCCCUUGAGCCCAGGAGUUCUGGGUUGUAGUUCACUUUGCUGAUCGGGUGUCCGCACUAAGUUCAGCAUCCAUAUGGUAACCUUCCAGAAGGGCAGGACCACGACGUUGCCUAAGGAGUGGGAUCACGCCUGUGAAUAGCCACUGCAUUCCAGCCUGGGCAACAUAGCAAGACCCCGUCUGUA
Unclassified non-coding RNA from Callithrix jacchus (white-tufted-ear marmoset), 241 nucleotides. It matches the Rfam family "Metazoan signal recognition particle RNA". Rfam says of the family: The signal recognition particle (SRP) is a universally conserved ribonucleoprotein. It is involved in the co-translational targeting of proteins to membranes. The eukaryotic SRP consists of a 300-nucleotide 7S RNA and six proteins: SRPs 72, 68, 54, 19, 14, and 9. Lineage: Eukaryota; Metazoa; Chordata; Mammalia; Primates; Cebidae. The record is from Ensembl.